UUAUAGAAACCUAUAUAGUUUGGCGGCACUUCAUCUUAUUAGAGGAACUUGUCUUUUAAUCGAUACCCCCCGAUAAUUUUCACUUAACUCAAUAGCCGAUAUACCGCCAUUUUAAGAAUAAACUAAAAAAUAUCGUUCAAAAUAAUAUUCUAAAAAAUUAGGUCAAGGUGUGGCUAAUACUUAAGCUAAGAUGAGUUAUUUUAAAAUAUUAUUUAAGGAUUAAAUUAUUAAAACAAUUUAUAAAAAAAGAUUUAAAAGUAAAUUAAAAAUAAUAUUUCUAAUUGAAUAAAGAAAUAAGUGUGCACACAUCGCCCG
Molecule: ribosomal RNA, 315 nt
Filed under: Deinopidae sp. Africa
Lineage: Eukaryota; Metazoa; Arthropoda; Arachnida; Araneae; Deinopidae
Description: partial small subunit ribosomal RNA
Source: RNAcentral